RNAcentral lists this unclassified non-coding RNA (1822 nucleotides) under Hevea brasiliensis (rubber tree). Lineage: Eukaryota; Viridiplantae; Streptophyta; Magnoliopsida; Malpighiales; Euphorbiaceae. The record is from RNAcentral.
CCUCUCUCUCUCUCUCUCUCCACCAUUUUGCUGCAAUACACAAAGAAUUUCAUCCAGUCACUGUUUCAUGCAUAAAUUUAACUGAUUUAAGUUCAUGUAGUCUCUCAAGCCUCUCAUUUUAGAAUCGGGGCUUUGUCUUCCAACUUUCAUUGGAUAUGUAAUCCCUGUAGUGACGGCCUCGAUUCUUCCACUGAUUCCUUGCUUGCCAAAAUCUCCACUAGUCUCAACUCUUCCAUCUCUGUAGUGGCAGCCUCAAGUCCUUGUGGGCAUGCAUAACACUCCCUAUCACAGGCCUCCACAAGGUAAGUCUAAUUCAUUGGAUCGGUCUUCAUGGUGAUAUCAGUGAAGCAAAUACUACAAGUAAAAUCUAAGCACUUUUCUUUCUCCCAUGAAUUUCAAUCAUACAACACAAUAAACCAAAACCAAAAGGAAAAUCAGAUUGACAAGCAAAUAUGAAAUGUGUUUCUGAUACAACCCUUCUUACACACCAGGAUGAACAUACAAAAUCCCACUACAAAUAGGAAUAGUAAUCCUAUUCCUAUUCCUAUACAAGUACCUACUUAUGUUUCAACAUUGAAUUCCAGUGGACAAUGUAACAAAACUACCUUAGAAUAGUUCUAAUUAAUAUUGGAACGGUACAGAGGCUCACAUGCAUUAAUAAUUAACUAAAAUGGCUGUCGCCAUCUUUCUAUUCCAUCCAAGUGAAACUCACAAUGUUAUCACAAUCCCACACAAAUAUAUAAUCCUCAGCAUCAACUUCAUAAUAACUAAAAUAACAGUUCUGCAUCUCAUAUAAAAGGGGAUAUGAAGAUCCAGCUGCUGUACAUGCUAAGGUAGAAGCAAUUGCUUCGCCUUCUUUAACCAAAUAUUGUAGAUGUCAUCCGAGAAAAGAACGAAAUGUAUCUGUCAACAAUAAUUGUGAGUAAAGGCCUAAGUUGUAAACUACAGGAUCUCAUGGACCAGCAUGAUGGAGAAUGUAUAUGAUUGAUUUGCAACUUAAAAGGAGCAAGGAAUGAGUUUUAUAGAAGCUUAAAGGUCCUUUGAUUAUAUAGAAAGGAAAAGCACAUGAAUUUUUCCACCUUAAAAGUUAUUUCAUUGCAAAAAUUAUGUGAAGAACCAUAUAUAAGAGGUCUACAAAGAUAAGAUGACCAUUUAUAUUUUUGUUUCGCCACAGGAGCACAUUUGGUAAGAAAGUGGGGAAAAGAAAACAAUGACAAUACUGCAAUGGUUAGGCAAUGCAAACAUGAAACUUAUGGAAUAAAUGCCAUGACCCAUUUAAAAAGUGAAAUGAUUUAGCGUCCACAUUAUGAAGCUAAAAAACAAAUAAUAUGAUACCUCUUUCAAGUCAUCUGCAAAUUCUUUGACAGUGGAUGUAGCCACUGCAGCAGCUUCCUCAUAAGGAUAUCUGAAAUAAUAGAUAAAUGAAAAGAAAGGAAUGAUUUGUGAGAGAUAAUGAAUUUGCUGAAUAGAUUUUUCAGACGCCAAACCAGGUGAAAUCUAAUUCUGGGCCCUCAUCCAAUGAUCCAGUAAAUAAUAGUUUGAGCUCAUGUCCUCAUUGAAGGCUAUUUUGCAAUCAUUACUCAUAAUAAUUCUUUCUCCAAUGAAAUAAUACUCACGAGGAAUAGAUAACUAGAACAAAAUCAAAUGCAUUAGGAAAGAUAAGUUUUUUCAUUUAUAUUGGAGUUAUGCAAUGAGUUCAAUCCAUAAAUUAUAUCAGGAUGGGAAGAGAGAAAGUGAUUUGGAGUGGGAAGAAACAGAGAUUAGGGAGGGGGAAACUCAGUUCUCCCUUUCAACUUACCCAUAAACACCACAAGAUAUAGCA